CCGGAAGGGGAGUGAAACAGUUCCUGAAACCGUGUGCCUACAAGUAGUUAGAGCCCGUUAAUGGGUGAUAGCGUGCCUUUUGUAGAAUGAACCGGCGAGUUACGAUUUGUUGCAAGGUUAAGCGGAAAAAGCGGAGCCGUAGCGAAAGCGAGUCUGAAUAGGGCGCAUAAGUAACAGGUCGUAGACCCGAAACCAGGUGAUCUACCCAUGUCCAGGAUGAAGGUAAGGUAAUACUUACUGGAGGUCCGAACCCACGCACGUUGAAAAGUGCGGGGAUGAGGUGUGGGUAGCGGAGAAAUUCCAAUCGAACUUGGAGAUAGCUGGUUCUCUCCGAAAUAGCUUUAGGGCUAGCCUCGAGGUAAAGAGUCAUGGAGGUAGAGCACUGUUUGGACUAGGGGCCCUUCUCGGGUUACCGAAUUCAGAUAAACUCCGAAUGCCAUGUACUUAUACUCGGGAGUCAGACUGCGAGUGAUAAGAUCCGUAGUCGAAAGGGAAACAGCCCAGACCACCAGUUAAGGUCCCCAAAUAUAUGUUAAGUGGAAAAGGAUGUGGGGUUGCUUAGACAACCAGGAUGUUGGCUUAGAAGCAGCCACCAUUGAAAGAGUGCGUAAUAGCUCACUGGUCGAGUGACCCCGCGCCGAAAAUGUACCGGGGCUAAACAUAUUACCGAAACUGUGGAUGAACCUCUUUAGAGGUUCGUGGUAGGAGAGCGUUCUAAGGGCGGUGAAGUCAGACCGGAAGGACUGGUGGAGCGCUUAGAAGUGAGAAUGCCGGUAUGAGUAGCGAAAGAAGGGUGAGAAUCCCUUCCACCGAAUAUCUAAGGUUUCCUGAGGAAGGCUCGUCCGCUCAGGGUUAGUCGGGACCUAAGCCGAGGCCGAUAGGCGUAGGCGAUGGACAACAGGUAGAGAUUCCUGUACCAGUGCUAAUUGUUUAACCGAUGGGGUGACACAGAAGGAUAGGGAAUCGCACGAAUGGAAAUGUGCGUCCAAGCAGUGAGUGUGAG
Molecule: ribosomal RNA, 1003 nt
Filed under: Listeria monocytogenes
Lineage: Bacteria; Bacillati; Bacillota; Bacilli; Caryophanales; Listeriaceae
Description: partial 23S ribosomal RNA
Rfam family: Bacterial large subunit ribosomal RNA
Source: RNAcentral